Molecule: ribosomal RNA, 388 nt
Filed under: uncultured bacterium
Lineage: Bacteria
Description: bacterial SSU rRNA
Rfam family: Bacterial small subunit ribosomal RNA
Source: RNAcentral
GAUAAACGCUGGCGGCGUGCAUGAGACAUGCAAGUCGAACGGACGAUCGAGGCUUGCUUCGAUCGUUAGUGGCGGACGGCUGAGUAACGCGUAGGUGACCUGCCCCGAAGUGGGGAAUAACUGCCCGAAAGGGUGGCUAAUACCGCAUGUGGUGGUGUGUUCAAUCACACCAGUAAAGCCGCAAGGCGCUUCGGGAGGGGCCUGCGUCCGAUUAGCUCGUUGGUGGGGUAACGGCUCACCAAGGCGACGAUCGGUAGGUGGUCUGAGAGGACGAUCACCCAGACUGGGACUGAGACACGGCCCAGACUCCUACGGGAGGCAGCAGUCGGGAAUUUUGCGCAAUGGACGAAAGUCUGACGCAGCAACGCCGCGUGAGGGAUGAAGGCCU